GUAGGUGGCAAGCGUUGUCCGGAAUUAUUGGGCGUAAAGCGCGCGCAGGCGGUUCUUUAAGUCUGAUGUGAAAGCCCACGGCUCAACCGUGGAGGGUCAUUGGAAACUGGAGAACUUGAGUACAGAAGAGGAAAGCGGAAUUCCACGUGUAGCGGUGAAAUGCGUAGAGAUGUGGAGGAACACCAGUGGCGAAGGCGGCUUUCUGGUCUGUAACUGACGCUGAGGCGCGAAAGCGUGGGGAGCAAACAGGAUUAGAUACCCUGGUAGUCCACGCCGUAAACGAUGAGUGCUAAGUGUUAGGGGGGUUUCCGCCCCCCUUAGUGCUGCAGCUAACGCAUUAAGCACUCCGCCCUGGGAGUACUGCCGCAAGGCUG
RNAcentral lists this ribosomal RNA (374 nucleotides) under uncultured organism. RNAcentral describes it as "partial 16S ribosomal RNA". It matches the Rfam family "Bacterial small subunit ribosomal RNA", at positions 527 to 896 of the family's 1533-position model. The record is from RNAcentral.